UGCAUAGCUAAUAUUAACCAAGAAAUUAAUUUCGACUAUAACGCCAAAGCCAAGACUCCCACACCAAGCUAAUAGCC
This 77-nucleotide transfer RNA is filed under the name Shewanella putrefaciens. RNAcentral's name for it is "tRNA-Arg". Lineage: Bacteria; Pseudomonadati; Pseudomonadota; Gammaproteobacteria; Alteromonadales; Shewanellaceae. The record is from RNAcentral.